This 1251-nucleotide long non-coding RNA is filed under the name Phascolarctos cinereus (koala). RNAcentral's name for it is "lncRNA (ENSPCIG00000018772.2)". Lineage: Eukaryota; Metazoa; Chordata; Mammalia; Diprotodontia; Phascolarctidae. The record is from RNAcentral.
GUUCAAUAUCAUUUAGCUACUAAGUGUCAGGCACGAUUCCUACCGAGGUCUUCCUGUUCUCUAUCUACUAUGCCAUGUGUCUCUGUUGUUUUUUUGUAAACUAGAAAUGAAAAUAAUCAUUUCCUCCUCUGCAGCAAAAAACAAAAAUCAAAACAAAACCAAAAACCUUUCUUUCUAUCACUUCAGCUCCUGGAUGUGUCCAAACAAAGCUAUCAAAAGGGUGUCUGGUGGCCACCUUCUACUGACACUGUGACAGGGGAGGGGAGAAAAGAAAGGUGCCUGGAAAUGGGGCUGGGCUCUGCCUUUGUGAAUCCUUUGUGGUGUCUGCUUCUAAAAUUUCCAAACUGCUUCAUGGACAUAUAAGCUCUUGGAUAACAAGCUGUAGAUCUGUUCUCUCCCUUCCCUUCCUUUCCCCCCUACUUCUUCUCUUCCUUUGUCCUUUCCCACUCUGUGUGUAUUGGAGGGUGGGGGUGGGGCUGGGGGCUCAGUCUUUACCUGUGCAGUGACUUCAGGGUUGAUUAUUACCGCUGUCUUACCUCAUUAGGGCUUGCAGCUGCUGGGAGCCCAGGUCCCGCACACCUCUGGCCCCCUUGCGGGAUGAGGAAGAAUCGCUCUGCGUAUGCUGGCUGAUGUUUCGAGUUUGGAACAAUACUUCCCCCCAAAUAAAAGAGAGGAAAAAGGACAAAGGAAGAAAGAACUGUCUCAGGGAGCAUGGACAUUUCCUGAGAGAGAACAGAAGAAAGGAGGGGGAAAGAGAUUGGCUAAUUAAAGGAGGAAAAGCAGCAUGGAAGAUAACAAGAAUCAAAGAAAAAACUAGUGUAUUCAAGCUGCAAGUGACCUUUGUAAUAACCUCUUCCAGUCCAUUCAUUUUACAGAUGAGGAAACUGAGGCCCACAAAAGGGAAGUAAUUUGCCUAAAGUCUUACACUUAGCAACUGAGAAAGGACUAGAACCCCGUACUCCUAACUCCCAGAUGAGGGUUAUUCAAUUAUGCCAUCAAAAACUAUAAUUUUGCAAAAACACAUAUAAAAGCAUUAGAUUAUAGGAUUUUAGAUUUGGAAGAGACUUUACUUAUGUCAUCUAGACCUAGGCUAAAAGUGAAUCCCAGAGUAAUUCAGAAAUUUUAAUUCUUCAUUAUUAUAAUGGGAGGGAGAGGUUGGAGUUACAUAGUACCUUUCCUCCAAAGUAUGCAACUUGCCAUGAAAUAGGUAAGCAUAGCAACAAAUAAACCCAAAGCUGAUGCACGUUGCCA